Molecule: small nuclear RNA, 98 nt
Organism: Equus asinus (donkey)
Lineage: Eukaryota; Metazoa; Chordata; Mammalia; Perissodactyla; Equidae
Source: Ensembl
UGUUCCCACAGAACAUACUACUAAAAUUGGAGUGACAACAGAUAACAUGACCCCUGUGCAAGGUUGAUACACACAGUCAGAAAGUACUCCGUAUUUUU